GGUUAAGCGACUAAGCGUACACGGUGGAUGCCCUGGCAGUCAGAGGCGAUGAAGGACGUGCUAAUCUGCGAUAAGCGUCGGUGAGGUGAUAUGAACCGUUAUAACCGGCGAUUUCCGAAUGGGGAAACCCAGUGUGUUUCGACACACUAUCAUUAACUGAAUCCAUAGGUUAAUGAGGCGAACCGGGGGAACUGAAACAUCUAAGUACCCCGAGGAAAAGAAAUCAACCGAGAUUCCCCCAGUAGCGGCGAGCGAACGGGGAGCAGCCCAGAGCCUGAAUCAGUGUGUGUGUUAGUGG
RNAcentral lists this ribosomal RNA (298 nucleotides) under Escherichia coli. RNAcentral describes it as "partial 23S ribosomal RNA". It matches the Rfam family "Bacterial large subunit ribosomal RNA", at positions 1 to 303 of the family's 2925-position model. Lineage: Bacteria; Pseudomonadati; Pseudomonadota; Gammaproteobacteria; Enterobacterales; Enterobacteriaceae. The record is from RNAcentral.